This 407-nucleotide ribosomal RNA is filed under the name uncultured bacterium. Its description in RNAcentral is "partial 16S ribosomal RNA". It matches the Rfam family "Bacterial small subunit ribosomal RNA", at positions 29 to 526 of the family's 1533-position model. The record is from RNAcentral.
AUUGAACGCUGGCGGCAGGCCUAACACAUGCAAGUCGAGCGGAGCGGCGGACGGGUGAGUAAUGCCUAGGAAUCUGCCUGGUCGUGGGGGAUAACGUCCGGAAACGGGCGCUAAUACCGCAUACUCUCAGAUGAGCCUAGGUCGGCUGAGCUAGUUGGUGGGGUAAUGGCCUACCAAGGCGACGAUCCGUAACUGGUCUGAGAGGAUGAUCAGUCACACGGGAACGGAGACACGGCCCAGACUCCUACGGGGGGCAGCAGUGGGGAAUAUUGGACAAUGGGGGAAAGCGGGAUCCAGCCAUGCCGCGUGAGUGAAGAAGGUCUUCGGAUGGUAAAGCACUUUAAGUUGGGAGGCGGUACCAACAGAAUAAGCACCGGCUAACUACGUGCCAGCAGCCGCGGUAAUAC